AGUGAACGCUGGCGGUAGGCCUAACACAUGCAAGUCGAACGGCAGCACAGUAAGAGCUUGCUCUUACGGGUGGCGAGUGGCGGACGGGUGAGGAAUACAUCGGAAUCUACUUUUUCGUGGGGGAUAACGUAGGGAAACUUACGCUAAUACCGCAUACGACCUACGGGUGAAAGCAGGGGAUCUUCGGACCUUGCGCGAUUGAAUGAGCCGAUAUCGGAUUAGCUAGUUGGCGGGGUAAAGGCCCACCAAGGCGACGAUCCGUAGCUGGUCUGAGAGGAUGAUCAGCCACACUGGAACUGAGACACGGUCCAGACUCCUACGGGAGGCAGCAGUGGGGAAUAUUGGACAAUGGGCGCAAGCCUGAUCCAGCCAUACCGCGUGGGUGAAGAAGGCCUUCGGGUUGUAAAGCCCUUUUGUUGGGAAAGAAAAGCAGCAGGUUAAUACCCCGCUGUUCUGACGGUACCCAAAGAAUAAGCACCAGCUAACUUCGUG
Molecule: ribosomal RNA, 492 nt
Filed under: uncultured bacterium
Lineage: Bacteria
Description: partial 16S ribosomal RNA
Rfam family: Bacterial small subunit ribosomal RNA
Source: RNAcentral